This 599-nucleotide long non-coding RNA is filed under the name Mus musculus (house mouse). RNAcentral's name for it is "predicted gene 45890". Lineage: Eukaryota; Metazoa; Chordata; Mammalia; Rodentia; Muridae. The record is from RNAcentral.
GACUCAAUUCAAUUUUCAUAAUGCUUUCUCACCAGUCUGAUCUGCAACAACUCCGAGUUCUGAGGACACCCUGCAAGGAGCUGAGCAGAUGUGGACAGUGGAAGGUGACCGUCACAGAAGUUGCCUUGGUCGUGGUGUCUCUCCACAGCAACAGAACAGUCUGAGAUGACUUCCUGCACCGGGUUUCUUUGGGAUGAUCCUUUCCCUCGGGCAGGUCGCCACACAACCUUCUCUUCUGUAACUCCGUACAGCCUCAGGCUGCACAGCACAUCCUUCCCCAGCCCCGCCCCAAGGCUGUCACCGACUAGCUGGCGCCAGUCCCAGGAAGGAAGCACAUCCUCUCAGAAAAGAUGGUGUGGUUUCCUAGGAAACUUCAUCUACAAACAAGGGUGCACCGGGAACCGCGUGGGGACGUCCUGGGGCGAGUGUUUCUGCUGCACUGCCAGGAGCGAGCUGACAAACGCAGCGUGGGGACCACUUACCUGACAGGAGGAUGCCCUUCUCCCCGACCACAGUGUCGAAGCCCUGUGGGAAGCUUCGGAUGAACUCAGCGGCGUUGGCCACCUCUGCGGCCCUCUCCACCUGCUGGGCUGUGACCG